CGAGUACUGGAACUCGUGCAGUACUAACCGUUGCGGACCGCCUCCUCCGUGCCCGAUAAAGGCCGUCUUUGUAAAUUACGGGUUUCUCAUUCCCCGAAGGGUUUGUGAACAGAGUGCAGGCGCUGCUGGGCUCUCGUCAUGGAGGAAUGCCCUGGGAGGGACUGAGCUCUGGAUGCAGCCUGACCGCGGCAUCCUGCAGCCCCCUGGGCUGGAACGGGGCUGCCCCAGCACUGGGCAGUGUUGCACCGAGGCUUGGCUGCAGCUUGCUGCUCACAGCCCGGGCAUGCCUGCUAACAUGAGGUUCAGCAUCUCUGCUUCUAGCAUUGCGCUGGAGUGAUGAUGAGGAACUAUCUGGAGGGCUUUGUGUGCAAUUAGCAGAGGAACUGCUUGUUUUCAGGGGUAAUUCUGUGCGUGUUCAGAUUAAUGUUGUGUUUUGUAGCAGGACAGAGCAAGUUUGUGUACCUCCAGGUUUUCAGCAAACGGAUUUGCCUUCCUGCAGUUGCCUGUUGUCUGUGUCCAGGCUGUAAGGAGCCAGGAUCAUUUGUAUAGUGACAGUGCUUGAGCAAGCAGAGCUCACAUAUUCCCCCUCUGAUGUCAGUAUUUUCUACUCAAUCAGCUGUGUGCUGUGCUUCUUAACUUCCUGUUUCUCAGCUGAAACCCUGUGGCUCAAUGAGGAGGGAGGAGCACUCUGUCAUUUUUGGGAAGAGGGGAAGAUAGCGAGAAGCCUGAGUCAUUCAGACAUGCUCAUUACUGCAGCUCUGGCAUCCUGCAUUCUGCAGCUGGCACAUGGGCUGUUGCCUGCCCCCAGCCUUCCAGAUGAAGUGCCCUGGUACGGCAGGGUGCCUUUCCUGGCUUUGGGCACACUCCUGCUUCACAACUGCACUGCAAUGGGCUGGGUGCUGGCAGGGUGUGCUGGGAAGGCUCUAGCUUUGCCAUAGAUCUGGCUGGCUGCAGCCCUUACAUCAGUCAUUACUAUUCCAGUUUCUUUUUGUUCUUUGUCAGAAAGACCUGUUCUACAUCAGCAUUAUAAUGCAUUGCAAAGGCAUUGUUUAGUGAGCUGUUGAUGGCCCUGGACUUACUCCACCAUAUAUUGAGAAGAAGCUGUAAGGCAAAGGCUCUCUUGUGAAAGUAUUGCUUCAGAAGUGCUUGCUUGUCCCCUGUGACCAGCAGCCAUUAAAGAAGAUUCUCGUACGUCCCCUGUAGGCUAAGUAAAGCAUUGUGUUACACUUGCAUGUGUGAUGUGGAAAAAGUGCAAGCAAGAAAGCCUGUGCUAUCCAAUUUUCUAGCCUGUUAUGAAAAGCCAUUUUUUGAGGAAGGAGAUCAGAGAUGUAGGAAAUGUGUGCACGACCCUACUGUGUUUAAGAAGCCAUGUGCUGCCCUUCAGUGUGGUUACUUCUUCAGAAAAUGGGAUGUUGUCAGGCAGCCCAGGUAAUCCAUUAAAUCCACCAGUGUGUCGCUGCUGGGGACUGUUGCUUCAUCGCCAGGCUGCUGCCAGGGCACCAUCUGAGUUACACAUGGGAUUGUGUUGUCUAUCUUAGGUGUUUAUUAAUCUCCUUGCCGGUCAGGCUAUUUGCUUCUUGUUCUCUUUUUGGUUGGAGCAACAAAGUUUUUUUUUGUCUACUUUGCAGUCUGGUUUAAGUUGACAAUCAGAUGUUCUCAGUGAUUUUUGGUUUUGGUAUUUGUUAUGCCUUAAAAAAGUCUUAAUACAUCCCUUUCAGGGCAGCAUAUACUACAUAUUUCUGGAGGUGUCUCUGGUGUAGCACUUUGCACAAGGUCCUGAACAACUGCAUUGCACAAGAAAGCUUUCAGAGCCUGCAGCCAAAGUGCUAACACCUGUAUCUGCUGUGUGUUCCAUAAAAAGGGCUUUUCUUUUUCAUGCAUCUUGCCACACCACAGGGCAGAGCUCAGCUGAUGUGUGAGCACUGAGUGCCUUGGCUUGUAAGACUGGAGGAUCUGUGCUGUGCUGCUUCUCAUCGUCACAGCUGCUGGUCUGUGCUGUUGCAUCACGUGUUCUCAAAACCUUUCAUCACGUCUGAAAAAUGUGAAACUUUUUCCUUGUGAGGGUACAGCUCACAUGAACACUGGAUUUGGUCGUCUUUUCCUCUAGCAGUUUCACUGUCAAAACUACACAAGCAGCUCUUCAGUCUCAUGCUGAUACUUUUACUGUGCAGAACAUGUAGGUAUACAGUGGGCAGCAUUUUGGAAGAAGGAAAAUUAGGGAGUAAGGGAUGAAUAGCUUCAUUCAGUAGAUGCUGAAGAGCUUCAAAACAGUUAUUGUUGUUCAUAACAGUUAGCAAGGCAGUGAAGCUUGUCAGCAUCAACAGGAAGUUUCGUGGAAGCCUAUGUGCCAGUGUGGUUUUGUUAAGAAAGUGUGAGGGGUAAAGGGACCGGAGAGGUGGGAGGGGUUGAAGCCCUCUGUUGGGAAGGGCAUGGGGACAGCCUCACCUGUCCGUGGGUAGACUGGGUGCCUCAGUGGGCUCUGAGGGCUCUGCAGAACUCAGCACCCACUUGGGCACUUGUGAGGGUUAAUGCUGUUCAUACAAGCCUGAGGGGGUUUGGCCAGCCUGGUCUGGUGGCUUUUGCCCUUCGGAGUGGCCACAGAGUUGUUGUUUAGGGGAGUUCUGGCAGCUGCUUGGAUAAAGAUGAGGAAAUCCACCUCUUCCUGUUGCACACAGAGUAUCCCCUACCCUCAGAGACCUUGUGAGGAAACUGAUUUGAACAAAACAGUGUUUUGAAGCUCUUCUUUUGACAGCACAAAGCUGGGCUUUUCAGUUUUCCCUGUACCUGCAUUUGGGAAAGCAGCAUGGUUCUGAGCAGGACAUGCAGUGUUGCUGUCCUGUUACUGCUGCUGGAGCGGACAGAGCCUCGGGAGGGCCAGGCGAGGAGGAACCGUACCAUUUAUCCUUAAUGUACCUUUGAUGCAGUCACUCUGUGGAGCUUGGAUAGAAGCAGGACAGAUUCUGCAUCCCAAAUGAACUACGAAAAUCCUCCACCUUACCCUGGCCCAGGCCCGUCGGCCCCUUACCCACCCUAUGCCCCACAGCCGGGUGGCCCUCCUGGCCCCUACCCCGGCUAUCCACCCGGGCCCACGGGGCCGUACCCACCAGGCCAGCCAGGCUAUCAAGGUUAUCCGCAGUAUGGAUGGCAAAAUGCACCUCCGCCUCCAGGACCAGUGUAUGCAGAUGGGCCUAAAAACACAGGUAUGCCUAGCAGCAGUGGUGCAGGGUGAUUGUGACCCUUUCCAUCUUACAGAUGCAUGACCUUGAAGUAGUGUGGUUACCAGCUUUUGGUGGAGAUGGAAACCUGUUUGAGGGAGGUAUUCUGAUUAUAUCUUGUUUUACUGCUAUCUUUUGCUGCCAAGCCUCUAAUAGUUCUCUGAUUCUUUGAAGAUACUGCUGAAGGUUCUUUAUGCUGAUCCCUCCAGAGAAUCGUUGCACUGACAUUAUUGUACACGCAUUUUGCUGGCUCUAGGUUUCCCACAACUCUUCUGCCUGUCUUUGGAUUGAUAAAAGUUUAGCUGAAGGCUGUAAAGCUAGAGCUGUUGAUAUUCAAAUGUGCAGUACUUAAUCAAUUAACAUCUGUCCAUUUUCUUGAGCCUAGACAUAGCUGUCCAAGUUAUCUUGUAUGCCAUUGAAAUAAUUCCUGGAUUUCUGUGUGUUUUGCUGAAGCUAUAAUUUUUUUGUUGUUGUUUUCCCUUUUUUGGGGGAGGAGGGGAUGUGCAGAACAAAACCAGCAGGUUUCUAGAUAAGGGAAGGAGGACAAUGUAACUUACCUUGGUAGGUAGCCGGUCCUUCUGUGUGCCACUUCCUCUCAAUAUAGCAUGUUGAUUUAAUGUGGAUGCUUGUAGCUCUCUUGGGGCUCACUGCAGUGCCUGGUGCAGGCUUGAAUUGUCAGAGUAGGGCCACGAAGACAAAGAAGGGACUGCAUCAUCUUUUGUAUGAGGAGAGGCUGGAGGAGCUGGGACCCUUCAGCCUGGGGAAAAGAAGGCUCAGGGAGAUCUCCUCAGUGCCUGUAAGUUUCUGAAGGGAGGUGCUGAGAGAAUGGGUCUAGGCUCUGUCAUAGCAGCUCUACUGUCUGGUUUCAUCAGUGAUAAUGGUUCUAAUCCAGGCACCAUCUAUACCUUUGCUGCAGUGGAUACUACAGACAGGCCUGAGCUGCUGAGAAGAGCCUUAAGUACCUACAGCUGCCUUGGGAUGCUGGAGGAUGCGGCCAGAGCUGCUGACAUGUCUGCUCUGUGGGAAUGGGUGUGGGCAUCUCAGAAGUGCUGUCCAGGCAGCUACGGUUGAGGUGGGAGCUGCCCUCAGGAAGAAUAGACAGAGGCUCUGCGUGUGCUGGAGGUGUCUGUUGUGGUCACAGGAGGUCUAACUCAGGAGUGGAAAGAAAACUAACACUUAUGUCAAACCUAAGUCAGUUCAGGUACUGCUGAUGUAAAGACUGGGGCUGAUAGAGUGGGAAUUGGAGCUGAUGUCAGCUGGUGGAUUGUCAGGGCUCAGAAAAUUCCUCUGAAGCCUUCUCUGCUAUGUGAGGCUGUCCUUAGCUGUUAUUUAUUGAGGUCGUUCUCCAUGUAUUGUCCCACACCACUGGGGCUGUGUGUGCUACUACUUGAAGCCUUCUCAGGAUUGGAGUCCAUAUGCUUCUGCUGUGUUUUUGAGACAACUGUCUUCUCUGCCCUGCUACUUUACCUCUGUGUGAUACUCUGACUGAACAGUGCACUGCAACAAAGUAUGUUCAAGGCCCUUGUUAUAUGGGAAACUGGAACUUGAGAUAGUUCCAAGUAGUUUUUCCGCUGUGGUGAAUCCAGAGUCGACACACAUAGGUAGACAGACUGAACUGUGAAGAGAUAUUUUCAAGAACCUGUUUUUUCAGCGUUCUUGAUUAUUGGCCUCAGUGAUGACGGCAUGUACUCAGCUUUCUCUACAGAAGUUUCCUUCUCCAAUGGUCUGCGUCAGACUGAGGAGGCAGCAGCAUGGAGAUGCUUCCUACUGCUGCUGCCACAUGUACUUGAAGUGUAACCAGGAUUUUCCCUGGGAAAUGCACCUUGUUUGCAGUGGCUAAGAGCCAUGUCUGGGUGCGUUCUCAGGGAAAAACUUCCUAGUCUCCCAAGCAGAAAACUUGCUUUGCUUACUGCAAGUAGCACUUUGCUGCUAUAGUCACAGAGGGAUGCUCUGGCAGGAGCUGCAGGGGGAGGUGUCCUGUUGCUUUGGCAGAUCUGCUGCUUUGAAUGCUGAAAGGAUCCUGUAUCAGACUCAGUCAGGAAACUGCACUGAAAACUAUUUUGUUCAGGUCUCUCUCUGACUCAGGCACCUUUUGACCAGCACAAAAAACUGUCUGGGAAGUUGCAGAGGACCAGCAGUGAAAUAUUUGUCCAGCAAGAGCCAAGGCUUAUGCUGCAGAAGGCACAGUUUUGUGCUAAACUUCAGCAAACACAGCUGCUGUUCUGCAUGUUAACCCACAAACCAAUCAUCUAGGAGAUCUUGUUUCAGAAUUGGCUUCCUGUAGUCAUGUGGUCUCUAGGAUAAACUUGGAAGUUGGUGUCUUGUGUUGCUUUUCCUGAAUUAAAUGUAAUCAUAUAAUGGCUGAGACCUCUGGAGGUCAUCGAGUCCCUCCCCCUUGUAGUAGGUUUGGCUGAGACAGAGGUAUCAGCCUUUGUGGAAACUCGCAAUGCUGUGCUUUGGGUAUGUGAGAAAAGUGACAGCACAGUAAUGCUGGUGCAGAGCAGUGCUUGCACUGAGUCAGGGGCAGUUCUGCUCCUUGAGCCACCCUGUCAGCGUGGUGCUGGGAGGCAGCGCUGACCUAAACUGGCCAAAGGGAAGUUCCACGCCUUAUGGUGUCACCAUCAGUAAUAAAAGCUGGGGAGGAGGAAGGAGAGAGGGCUGUUUGGAGUGCUGGUGCUUUUUUCCUAACAGUUGCACACAAGAGUCCUGCUUCACUGGCAGUGGUGAAUGUCUGCCUGCUGUUGGAAGCAGUGAAUGAGUUCUUUGUGUCCCACUCGAGCAUGCAGCUAUUGCUUUACCCAGCAAACUGCCUGUAUCUACACCAGGAGUUCUCACCUGUACCUUUGCAGUUCUCUCCCCCACCCCAUCUGGGGACAGUAAGCAAGCAGCCGUGUGCUGCGGGCUGCUGCUGGCUGAUACACAGCAGCUCUGCUUGAGUAGGGCGUCCCAUGGCAAGGUACAAAGAUGUUGCAAUUAAAAGGCUUUAAUGACAACAAGCCGCAAAAAUGUAAGGCUGCUACCCUCCAUUAAGUUCUUAUUGCUGACUCAUGACUGACAUUAAACAAAAGCAGGACUAAGUGUGUUUUGCAUCCAGAGUUUUCCAUACAAUUCCUAGCACCUGUAUGCAUGCUGCCUGUGUCUCCUGUAAUGUGUUAACCUCCCAUAUUAUAAGGAAGGAGCACGUCAUUUUGUAUCUGGGGGUGAUAUCCAGAUGUCAAAAAGGCAGACUUCACAGUAACUGCUAUGGUCACUGAGUAUUUUGCUGAGUUACCAAAGAAAAACAAAAGCAAAUUGUAGAAGAGAUGUCAAGAGUGAGGAUGAAACUUUCAGACAAGAUUGUACAAAAAAGAGUGAUGGGGGAGUUGUUGUUUUUAUGCCUCAUGUGUAGGUAAGCAGAUGCACAGAGUUGGAUUAGAGAACCUUCUAAGCUGAGGAGCUCACAGUUCAGAUUGCAUAUCAACAGCAGAAUUUAUCAGUAGGUUUGUGAAGGUAAGAGGAACUUCUGAGUUUGUUGCUCUUGAUGCAGUAAACGUGCCUGAAGAAGUGAUUCUGAAAAAGCCUUUAAGAUUGAAUAUUUGUGAGAGAGAAGUUUCACUGGAGCCUUCUGCUUAUUUUUAACCACUUGUAAAUAUAAAUAUAAACCCCACAAACUAAGUUCAUGUCAGUGAGGAUUUUUUAAAUAAAAAUAAGCCUUUUACUUUUAACUAGGAGCCAAGUAUUUCUAGCAUGUGGGAUGCGUGUGCACUCUUCAGCAUAUUUUUGUUUCCCUAAAACAUGCAGGAGCCCCACAUGCUGGAGCAGUGCACUUUGGUUUCUGGAGCAAAGCAGUCAUGCUGUGUAUCACAGUAUUGACACAUUUUUUUUUUGCUUGAUUUUUGCUUCUUCCUGGCACUGCUUUCAUCAAAGUGUGGUUUUAUUGCAUGUGUCGCUGUUGUAACUCUCAGCACUUUGUGGUUCUGUGUGUUCCACAGAGCAGGCAAAAAAAAAAAA
Molecule: non-coding RNA, 7205 nt
Organism: Meleagris gallopavo (turkey)
Lineage: Eukaryota; Metazoa; Chordata; Aves; Galliformes; Phasianidae
Source: RefSeq, a predicted model, not a curated record